Molecule: long non-coding RNA, 2900 nt
Filed under: Mytilus galloprovincialis (Mediterranean mussel)
Lineage: Eukaryota; Metazoa; Mollusca; Bivalvia; Mytilida; Mytilidae
Source: RNAcentral
ACUGUUGGAAGAAACCUUGCGGCCAUGGAACAUGCGCAAAUCAUCGUAGAACCUUCAUAUGUACCUGUAACAAAGGAUAUACAGGACAAUACUGUAAACAAGGUAUGUAAAGUCAUCAAUGAAUAUUAAGUUUCAGGUCAAUUAGUAACUUUAUCAUUUUAUGAAAAAAGUUAAGUUAUUUUUGAUUCUCUUCACUUUUUUGUUUUCUUCGGCGGGUAACAGAAUAAGUAUACACCUUAAUGCGUGAACAAAAAUGGAUAUAAGGUUUAAUAUUGUAAGCAGUAUUUUUACUUUUUAACCAAUAUUAUAAUAAAAUAAAUAAAGCAAUUGAACAAUAUAACAUUGCAAAUAUUUCUUAAAAUGUAAUUCAUGUAAAUGAUAUUUAGUUUGUUAAUGUUUCAUAGCAAUACUAAAUUUACAAUUUCUCUAUUUCUUUUAGUGAUUGACCGUAAGUAAAACAUUGAUAAUACCAUUUCAAAUAUUCACAUAAAAUAAAAAGCCAGUAUGCCGGUAUGUCCAGAGAAACAAGAUUAAACAUACUUGCACUAGAUGAAUCAAAGGAGAAUAAGUAAUUUAUACAGUUUGAAACAUAUUUGUUUUGCAUAAAUUAACAACACUUGAAUGCACGAAGACGCAACCAAAGCCUGAUUGUGGACGUUAACAAUAACAGUAAUUUGAGACUGAAAUCAUCGCCAUACACUGGGGUUUUAAAGUUUGCGUUCAUUAGCAGGACUGUUUAGGUCAGUUAUCGGUAAUUCAUAACGGCACUGUUUUAUGUGUGUGCUCAUCGGGGCACCAUUUUGUAUAUGAACAUUUGGUCCUUUUCAAUUAACUAUAGAUUUUGGCAUUUUCAUUCUGUCCUAUCCUUUCACAAAUUUUACCGUUCUUAUUUUUUAUAUUAAUUUCUUUCCUAUGAGUUUUUAGUUUUACGCAUACAUUUGAUUGAUAUUAAAAUAACAUAUUUCUUUAUAUAACGGAAAGACUAAAUUGCAAUAUUCAGUUGCACGAUAUAAGAGCUUUCUAACGGUUUACAUUAUAUUAUCUCUUAUGAGACGGUGUGAUACAAAAGAGAUAAAAUAUAUCAAAGGUACAUUAACGAUCCAAUAAAAAAAAAACUUUGCCCACAAGAAAAAGCCACGAUAACUAAAAACAAAUUUAGAAAACCUUAAAAACAGAACUGGAACAAAAACACAAGUGAUCCGGUAUGGGCAAUAAACGCGGUUAUAUGUGUGUUAUUAUUUGUGAUACUUUACAGAGUAUGUAUAAAUCAUAUCAGUUAUUCAAUAAAUAAUUAAAUAACAGUUGGUAAUUUAAAAUAUUUCUACAUUAUUCUAAAUUAGAAACUGUUAUGUCCUUUAUUUCAAUAAGAUUACUUAUCCUAACGAUCAUGUUCAGAUUUCAGACAACUUUCGUCUUUUAAUGGUGGACUUUAAUCCCAUUUUCUUUUUUAACCUGUUUUUUUAUGUUGACUGCUGUACCCUAUUUUUGACAUUGUUAUAUAUUGUGGCAGUUUGUUUUGUUCACACAUCGUUGUCAAUAUAAUAAAACUGUCAGAGGUUUAGCUAGCUUUAAAACCAGGUUUAAUCCACAAUUUAUCCACAAGAAAAAUGCUUGCACCACGUCAGGAAUAUGACAGUUGUUUUCCAUUCGUUUGAUGUUUUUAAAGAUUUUGAUUUUGCCAUUUGGUAAGUGACUUUCCGUUUUGAAUUUUCCACAGAUAUCAACACUUUUGGGGUUUUACUUCUUACACACAGUAUUAUGUAACACAACUUUAUGUCAUACACUUGUGAUAAGUUGUCUGCGAUUGUGUUGGUUUUUUUUAAAUAGGGGAAACAAUGCACAUGCACUUAGUUUUUUUUAAUGUUUCGUUGCAUUAAUUACCUAUAAGAACUAUCACUGUCAAUAACGAUUUUUUUUUCUAGACGAAGUGCGUAUGUGUCGUUCACCAUUUUGACUCCCGGUAUCUACAUAUAUUAUCCUAUACUGGAAAUGCAUGUUUCGUGUUUUUGUCAUUUUGGGAAAUGAGUAUAAAUUCUGGAAUCAUUUUUCUUGUCUGUGUUUGCUUUUACUUUUAGUCAAUUUGGUAGUAUCAGCUCUUCCAUUGUUGUUUCUUUUGUGUUUUUUGUCCAAUAAUUCAGUAGCGUUGACUGAAAAAUCUGAUGUUAAGUGGUUGUCGUCUGUUUAUGUGGUUCAUAAGUGUUUCUCGAUUCUCGUUUUUAUAUAGGUUAGACGUUUCACUGGUUUUGCACUAGUAGUUUGUGGGGACCUUUAUAGCUUGCUGUUCGGUGUGAGCUUAGGUUCCGUGUUGAAGGUCUUGACCUAUAAUGGUUUUUUUUUUAUAAAUUGUUACUUGGAUGGAGAGUUAUUUCAUUGGCACUCAUACCACAUUUUCCUAUAUCUAUUGACUGCAAAUUAAAUGCUGAACUACGCGUUAAAUUGGUAAAAAUGAUAUAGUCAAAGUUAAAAUAAACUUGACCUUACUAAUAAAAAAACUAACUAAAGAGAUGUGUAAUUACUUAUUUAAAAAGCUAGUUAUACUUUGUUGGGAGUAUUUUCGGAAUUUUAGUUCAUCAUGAUAAAAUUGUUAUUUUAUGAUGUAACGGUCAAUGCAUGAUUUUAUGGACAUAUGAAUGAAUAUAGAUAUUGACAUCUGAAAGCGUCCACUGUCGAUAUAUAGUCUCCGGGUCGACAUCGACGUAAAGACAUCAUCAAGCGACUACCAUUGAAUAGAAUAAUCAUGUAUUGAACUUUGAUACAAUGUUUGGUAUGUAUUUCAAUGUGCUUUAUUUCAGAUUGCAAGUCCAAUCUCUGUAUACACGGGAAAUGUAUAAACCAUCCAGCUGCCGGCUCAUACACAUGUCAUUGUUUUAGUGGAUUUGGAGGCAAAUUUUGUGAUACAC